Molecule: unclassified non-coding RNA, 183 nt
Filed under: uncultured Aspergillus
Lineage: Eukaryota; Fungi; Ascomycota; Eurotiomycetes; Eurotiales; Aspergillaceae
Description: sequence contains ITS1
Source: RNAcentral
CCGAGUGCGGGCCCUCUGGGUCCAACCUCCCAUCCGUGUCUCUUGUACCCUGUUGCUUCGGCGGGCCCGCCUUCAUGGCCGCCGGGGGGCUCUCUAGCCCCCGGGCCCGCGCCCGCCGGAGACUCCAACAUUGAACACUGUCUGAAGUUUGCAGUCUGAGUUUUCAUAAAAGAAAAAUCGUUA